CUGUUAAGUGGUAGGUUCGAAACU
Molecule: non-coding RNA, 24 nt
Filed under: Arabidopsis thaliana (thale cress)
Lineage: Eukaryota; Viridiplantae; Streptophyta; Magnoliopsida; Brassicales; Brassicaceae
Source: RNAcentral